CUAUACGUGAGAAAGCCUCGUCUACCCCUCUCCCUGUAAUUAGUUACUUCUAUAGUUGGCACCCAUCCUUAUCUCUUAUCUCCAAAAUCGAUUCCCCAACCCUAACCUCCCGUUCUCAACGACGGCGCCGCCGCACAGAUCUGGCACUAUCCGGCGAGGCUUGAGCUGCCUGGGGCCGGGCUCCGUCGCCUCCUUUGUCGGCGCACGGACGAAGGAAGCCGAGGCUUUAGUCUAGCGUCGUCCCUUUUCUGUCAGGAAAGGCGAAGGUUAUGGUUCGCCGCCGAACUUCGUCGGCUGAAAUCAUGGCGCCGCCGUGGCUGAUGCCACCUGUGUUCAGCCGGAAGGGGUCCGGCACAUCGCGAGCGUCGCUAUAUAGGGGGCAAAUAGCUCCGAUGCCGGCGAGGUUAUCCUCCGGCGAUGAGGUCUUUGCGGGUUUUCUCAUCAGAACGAGCUGUCAUCGCAUCGUGGCGGAGUUUGGGUUUCUCUGAGACAUGACGGGGAGCACGAGCUUGAGGACCGCGGCGUCGUGGCGGUGUUUGGGUUUCUCUGAGACAGGACGAGGAGCACGAGCUUGAGCUAGGUCCUUCUUUUGAUCUCUGGAUGACCGAGAGAUGCGAGAUGCCACCGACCUGAUUAUUUGGUGGUUGAUCCGUCACUUGAAUUUGCAUGAUCGUCCACAAGCAUUCGGAGCACAUGGGGAAAUAUAUAUGAUUAUGCUACUGGUUUUUCUCCUAUUGCCUCUUCUACUCGGAUCUUCUUCUACUAGAACGAUUAGAAUCACUACAGCGUUCCGAGCACAUGGUGAAAAUGAUUUUGCUACUGGUUAUUUGCCUGUUGUGGUCUUGCUUCUUCUACUUGGUUUAAUAAAUCAAUUAUGAUAUAUCGCUUGAAGGUGAAUAGUCUAUAGGGGAGUGUGAAGUAAACGAGAUGAGUGCUAUACCCAGUUACCCACUGGAGUGGAGAGACAUAUCGCCUCUGCAAGCCUUGGACAAAGUUAUUCAUUCAAUACAUGUUCUUAACCCAAUCUUUCCUGUUGCCAUUUCAAGUACCCAUUUCCAAUCACAGGAAUAACAAUACAGAUGAAGAGGGAGAAGAAAAACAAGCUGUGAAGGCUGCAUAACAACAGGCAGGUUGAUUUGAAAUGCAGAUGAAUCCUUCCAGUUCCAUUCGAUCCCAAUCCAAACUCGGUGUACACAAUAAAUUCAGGAUCCUAAUUGCUUGAAAAAGUAAUGCUUUUUGAUUUUUGACAUCACGGGUAUUAUAAUGUUUAUUUGACAUCACGGGUAGUAUAAUGUUUAUGUGACAGCUUCAAAUCUUCAAUGUUAUAACUAUUUACUUAUUAUUGCUGCAUUCAAGCGAAUAUAUAAAGAAUCCAAUCGACGGCCGAUCUAUGUUACA
Oryza sativa Japonica Group (Japanese rice) is the source of this 1398-nucleotide non-coding RNA. The record is from RefSeq and is a predicted model, not a curated record. NCBI's taxonomy places the organism in Eukaryota, Viridiplantae, Streptophyta, Magnoliopsida, Poales, Poaceae.